CCUACGUGAGGCAGCAGUGGGGAAUAUUGGACAAUGGGGGGAACCCUGAUCCAGCGACGCCGCGUGAGUGAAGAAGUAUUUCGGUAUGUAAAGCUCUAUCAGCAGGGAAGAAAGAAAUGACGGUACCUGACUAAGAAGCCCCGGCUAACUACGUGCCAGCAGCCGCGGUAAUACGUAGGGGGCAAGCGUUAUCCGGAUUUACUGGGUGUAAAGGGAGCGUAGACGGCGAUGCACGUCUGAAGUGAAAGGCGGGGGCCCAACCCCCGGACUGCUUUGGAAACUGUAUGGCUGGAGUGCAGGAGAGGUAAGUGGAAUUGCUAGUGUAGCGGUGAAAUGCGUAGAUAUUAGGAGGAACACCAGUGGCGAAGGCGGCUUACUGGACUGUAACUGACGUUGAGGCUCGAAAGCGUGGGGAGCAAACAGGAUUAGAUACCCGGGUAGUC
RNAcentral lists this ribosomal RNA (443 nucleotides) under uncultured bacterium. RNAcentral describes it as "partial 16S ribosomal RNA". It matches the Rfam family "Bacterial small subunit ribosomal RNA", at positions 338 to 795 of the family's 1533-position model. The record is from RNAcentral.